AAGGAGUCUAACAUCUAUGCGAGUGUUCGGGUGUCAAACCCCUACGCGAAAUGAAAGUGAACAGAGGUGGGAGCUUCGGCGCACCAUCGACCGAUCUUGAUGUCCUCGGAUGGAUUUGAGUAAGAGCAUAGCUGUUGGGACCCGAAAGAUGGUGAACUAUGCCUGAAUAGGGUGAAGCCAGAGGAAACUCUGGUGGAGGCGCGCAGCGAUUCUGACGUGCAAAUCGAUCGUCAAAUUUGGGUAUAGGGGCGAAAGGCUAAUCGAACCAUCUAGUAGCUGGUUCCCGC
Molecule: unclassified non-coding RNA, 287 nt
Filed under: uncultured fungus
Lineage: Eukaryota; Fungi
Description: partial contains 5.8S rRNA, ITS2 and 28S rRNA
Rfam family: Eukaryotic large subunit ribosomal RNA
Source: RNAcentral